GAAGUGUUUUCCGCGUCAGACCGCACACAAGUCUCCUGGAACGGAGCGUCACAGUGGUGAGAACCCAGUACACGGUGCGGAUGCCUGAUGCUUUGUGAUACACUUUCGAAGAGUCGAGUUGUUUGGGAAUGCAGCUCAAAUUGGGUGGUAAAUUCCAUCUAAAGCUAAAUAUUGGCGAGAGACCGAUAGCGAACAAGUACCGUGAGGGAAAGAUGAAAAGCACUUUGGAAAGAGAGUUAACAGUACGUGAAAUUGUUGGAAGGGAAACGCUUGAAGUCAGACUUGCUAUUCGGAGCUUGCUUCGAUUCGCAGGCCCGCAUCAGUUUUCCGGGGCGGAAAAUCGUAAGGAGAAGGUAGCAGUUUCGGCUGUGUUAUAGCUCUUUACUGGAUUCGUCCUGGGGGACUGAGGAACGCAGCGUGCUUUUUGCAUGGGCUUCGGCCCAUCCACGCUUAGGAUGCGGGUGGAAUGGCUUUAAACGACCCGUCUUGAAACACGGACC
Molecule: ribosomal RNA, 500 nt
Filed under: Sporobolomyces salmonicolor
Lineage: Eukaryota; Fungi; Basidiomycota; Microbotryomycetes; Sporidiobolales; Sporidiobolaceae
Description: eukaryotic LSU rRNA
Rfam family: Eukaryotic large subunit ribosomal RNA
Source: RNAcentral